GCCUGGGUGGCUCAGUUGGUUAAGCAUCCGACUUUGGCUCGGGUCAUGGCUCACAGUCCAUGGGUUCGAGCCCCACAUCGGGCU
This 84-nucleotide transfer RNA is filed under the name Felis catus (domestic cat). It matches the Rfam family "tRNA". Rfam says of the family: Transfer RNA (tRNA) molecules are approximately 80 nucleotides in length. Their secondary structure includes four short double-helical elements and three loops (D, anti-codon, and T loops). RNAcentral also lists the same sequence under 1 other name. The record is from Rfam by way of RNAcentral. Lineage: Eukaryota; Metazoa; Chordata; Mammalia; Carnivora; Felidae.